ACAGAGGGUGCGAGCGUUAAUCGGAAUUACUGGGCGUAAAGCGCACGUAGGCGGCGCACUAAGUUGGAUGUGAAAUCCCCGGGCUUAACUUGGGAAUUGCAUUCAAGACUGGUGUGCUGGAGUGUGGGAGAGAGAAGUGGAAUUCCAGGAGUAGCGGUGAAAUGCGUAGAUACCUGGAGGAACAUCAGUGGCGAAGGCGGCUUCUUGGCCCAACACUGACGCUGAGGUGCGAAAGCGUGGGGAUCAAACAGGA
This 253-nucleotide ribosomal RNA is filed under the name uncultured prokaryote. RNAcentral's name for it is "partial 16S ribosomal RNA". It matches the Rfam family "Bacterial small subunit ribosomal RNA", at positions 525 to 777 of the family's 1533-position model. The record is from RNAcentral.